CUUGAGAGCGGCGCACGGGUGCGGAACACGUGUGCAACCUGCCUUUAUCUGGGGGAUAGCCUUUCGAAAGGAAGAUUAAUACCCCAUAAUAUAUUGAGUGGCAUCACUUGAUAUUGAAAACUCCGGUGGAUAGAGAUGGGCACGCGCAAGAUUAGAUAGUUGGUGAGGUAACGGCUCACCAAGUCAAUGAUCUUUAGGGGGCCUGAGAGGGUGAUCCCCCACACUGGUACUGAGACACGGACCAGACUCCUACGGGAGGCAGCAGUGAGGAAUAUUGGACAAUGGGUGAGAGCCUGAUCCAGCCAUCCCGCGUGAAGGACGACUGCCCUAUGGGUUGUAAACUUCUUUUAUACUGGGAUAAACCUACCCUCGUGAGGGUAGCUGAAGGUACAGUAUGAAUAAGCACCGGCUAACUCCGUGCCAGCAGCCGCGGUAAUACGGAGGGUGCAAGCGUUAUCCGGAUUUAUUGGGUUUAAAGGGUCCGUAGGCGGACUCGUAAGUCAGUGGUGAAAUCUCAUAGCUUAACUAUGAAACUGCCAUUGAUACUGCGGGUCUUGAGUAAAGUAGAAGUGGCUGGAAUAAGUAGUGUAGCGGUGAAAUGCAUAGAUAUUACUUAGAACACCAAUUGCGAAGGCAGGUCACUAUGUUUUAACUGACGCUGAUGGACGAAAGCGUGGGGAGCGAACAGGAUUAGAUACCCUGGUAGUCCACGCCGUAAACGAUGCUAACUCGUUUUUGGGUUUUCGGAUUCAGAGACUAAGCGAAAGUGAUAAGUUAGCCACCUGGGGAGUACGUUCGCAAGAAUGAAACUCAAAGGAAUUGACGGGGGCCCGCACAAGCGGUGGAUUAUGUGGUUUAAUUCGAUGAUACGCGAGGAACCUUACCAAGGCUUAAAUGGGAAUUGACAGGUUUAGAAAUAGAUCCUUCUUCGGACAAUUUUCAAGGUGCUGCAUGGUUGUCGUCAGCUCGUGCCGUGAGGUGUUAGGUUAAGUCCUGCAACGAGCGCAACCCCUGUCACUAGUUGCCAUCAUUCAGUUGGGGACUCUAGUGAGACUGCCUACGCAAGUAGAGAGGAAGGUGGGGAUGACGUCAAAUCAUCACGGCCCUUACGCCUUGGGCCACACACGUAAUACAAUGGCCGGUACAGAGGGCAGCUACUAUGCGAAUAGAUGCGAAUCUCGAAAGCCGGUCUCAGUUCGGAUUGGAGUCUGCAACUC
Molecule: ribosomal RNA, 1217 nt
Filed under: Chryseobacterium aquaticum
Lineage: Bacteria; Pseudomonadati; Bacteroidota; Flavobacteriia; Flavobacteriales; Weeksellaceae
Description: bacterial SSU rRNA
Rfam family: Bacterial small subunit ribosomal RNA
Source: RNAcentral